UACGUAGGGUGCGAGCGUUAAUCGGAAUUACUGGGCGUAAAGCGUGCGCAGGCGGUUUUGUAAGCCAGAUGUGAAAGCCCCGGGCUUAACCUGGGAAUGGCAUUUGGGACUGCAAGGCUUGAGUGCGGCAGAGGAGACUGGAAUUCCUGGUGUAGCGGUGAAAUGCGCAGAUAUCAGGAGGAACACCGGUGGCGAAGGCGGGUCUCUGGGCCGGUACCGACGCUGAGGAGCGAAAGCGUGGGGAGCGAACAGG
Molecule: ribosomal RNA, 253 nt
Filed under: uncultured bacterium
Lineage: Bacteria
Description: partial 16S ribosomal RNA
Rfam family: Bacterial small subunit ribosomal RNA
Source: RNAcentral